GACGAACGCUGGCGGCGUGCUUAACACAUGCAAGUCGAACGGAAAGGCCCUGCUUGCAGGGUACUCGAGUGGCGAACGGGUGAGUAACACGUGGGUGAUCUGCCCUGCACUUCGGGAUAAGCCUGGGAAACUGGGUCUAAUACCGGAUAGGAGCCAUUUUUAGUGUGAUGGUUGGAAAGUUUUUUCGGUGUAGGAUGAGCUCGCGGCCUAUCAGCUUGUUGGUGGGGUAAUGGCCUACCAAGGCGGCGACGGGUAGCCGGCCUGAGAGGGUGGACGGCCACAGUGGGACUGAGAUACGGCCCAGACUCCUACGGGAGGCAGAAGUGGGGAAUAUUGCACAAUGGGCGCAAGCCUGAUGCAGCGACGCCGCGUGGGGGAUGACGGCCUUCGGGUUGGAAACUCCUUUCGCUAGGGACGAAGCUUUUUGUGACGGUACCUAGAUAAGAAGCACCGGCUAACUACGUG
RNAcentral lists this ribosomal RNA (465 nucleotides) under uncultured bacterium. RNAcentral's name for it is "partial 16S ribosomal RNA". It matches the Rfam family "Bacterial small subunit ribosomal RNA", at positions 28 to 507 of the family's 1533-position model. The record is from RNAcentral.